CCUACGGGAGGCAGCAGUGGGGAAUAUUGGACAAUGGGGGAAACCCUGAUCCAGCAAUGCCGCGUGAGUGAUGAAGGCCUUAGGGUCGUAAAGCUCUUUUACCAGGGAUGAUAAUGACAGUACCUGGAGAAUAAGCUCCGGCUAACUCCGUGCCAGCAGCCGCGGUAAUACGGAGGGAGCUAGCGUUGUUCGGAAUUACUGGGCGUAAAGCGUGCGUAGGCGGUUAUUCAAGUCAGAGGUGAAAGCCCGGGGCGUCAACCCCGGAACGGCCUUUGAAACUAGAUAACUAGAAUCUUGGAGAGGUCAGUGGAAUUCCGAGUGUAGAGGUGAAAUUCGUAGAUAUUCGGAAGAACACCAGUGGCGAAGGCGACUGACUGGACAAGUAUUGACGCUGAGGUACGAAAGCGUGGGGAGCAAACAGGAUUAGAUACCCUGGUAGUCCACGCCGUAAACGAUGAUAACUAGCUGUCCGGACACUUGGUNUUUGGGUGGCGGCAGCUACGCAUAGUUAUCGCCGUGGGAGGUACGGUCGCAGAGUAAACUACGAAGAAGUAGACGGCGUGAGAACGUGCGAGGCGACGACGAGGGGAGGAGG
This 595-nucleotide ribosomal RNA is filed under the name uncultured bacterium. RNAcentral's name for it is "bacterial SSU rRNA". The stretch from base 1 to 516 matches the Rfam family "Bacterial small subunit ribosomal RNA", at positions 338 to 873 of the family's 1533-position model. The record is from RNAcentral.